UGAGACAGGAGAAUUGCUUGAACCCAGGAAGUGGAGGUUACAGUGAGCCGAGAUCGCGCCACUGCACUCCAGCCUGGGUGACAGAGCGAGACUCCAUCUCA
MicroRNA precursor from Chlorocebus sabaeus (green monkey), 101 nucleotides. The record is from Ensembl. Lineage: Eukaryota; Metazoa; Chordata; Mammalia; Primates; Cercopithecidae.